UAUUUCUGGCUGAUGCUUCAUUGGGUGCACCUUUUGUUUCUCUUCCAAUCAAGAAGAUUCUUCUUUUCAAUAUUUGCAUGGACACAGCUAGCAAAAAUUUGAUAGGUAGCAAAAUAAACACAUACACAUAUAUUGAUAUCCGGUGGAGCAGAAGUUCACCUAUUAAUGUCGAGAAGUUUACUUAUACGGCAUAGGCAGUGCAGUUCCGUGACAUGCGGCAGUAGAGGUUCAUGAAAGUUCACUAGUUAAGCUACAUCGGUGCAUUAUUUGUGAAGUUCACUUCUAUUAAUUCGCGAAGUUCACAUCUACUGCUAGUUUCCUUUUAUAUAUUCUUGCUAGAGAAUAUUCCUGCUACAUGGUCAUCUAGAAAACACUUCUUACAGAUUGUGUGUAUUUAAAAAUGUUCAUUUGAGAUAAAAUAUAGUUAAAGCCUUUAACUCUACUACAGUUCAUCAUCUGCUAUGAUACACCAUGGACUUAUUCUUUAGGGAUAAAUUUUGAGGAUGACCACAGCACGCCGCCUCGCCCUUCAACGCAGAUAGCUGAUGGCAGCAGCGCCUCCCCUUUACGGAUUUUCGCGCUCGCGAGCAUAGCUUUCCGCUUCUUCUUCGCUAAACUUCAGAACCAAGCCAAGGAGGGCAGGUUUCCAAAUAAAAAUGCGUUUUCAGCAUGUCGAGGAAGCUUGAGUCAUCUGUCACAGAGGUUAAAUUUCUAUUUCUGGGGAGUCCGCUCUUGGUUUCAAGUGCAUUAUUUUGCAUCUGGGAAGUGCAGAUGGUUGAAUUUGAGAUGUUUGUUCAAUAUUUAUGAUAUUGUGUUUGAACCGCCUGACUCUGCAUUUUUCUGGCUUAGUGCACUAGAGUACUACUUCAUCUAGUCCAGCCACUACUAGUGAACUCCUAUUUGGACAUGGAGAGAACCAAGAGUAGUUAACAUUGAAGUUCACUUGGUUCGCACGGGAAAUUCACUUUGAAAGUUUAUUUCAUCCAUGAUUACUGAUUGGUGUGCAUCUUCAAAAGGAACUUACUCUCAUUGUGAAGAUUAUUUAGAAUUUGCACUAGUUUAUGAGCUUAUGGAGGUGAAUGAAGAUUCUGGACAACUUUCUUCAAGGAAACUUUGCGUUGUAGUUGGAGAAGUCGUGAUGCCGUGGUCAGCAUCCGAGGAGUUGGCGACCUCCGAAUCCCGCUGCUGCCCCAGAUCGCUUAACUCAGUUGGUCUUGGGUUUUGGCUAGUUGAAUACAUGCUUGUCCAGGCCAUCGGGAACACACAGUUGGUACUACGGGUUUAUGAUGUUCUCAUAAAUGCCAUAUGUUUGUUGAAAACGCUCCUGUUCGCAUAGAUACAUGUAUGUGCGGCAAUGAGGAUGUAUGCGCUUAGCUAUGUGAUCUGGACAGUCCACUUUUGUGUAGCUCGGCAUUUCAGUUGUAUGUAUAUAAGUAGCUCACCACAGUUCACCUUCUUUUUUCUUUUGAGAAAAUGACUGUUAACUUCUGUCUAUAAAGUU
Molecule: non-coding RNA, 1501 nt
Organism: Lolium perenne
Lineage: Eukaryota; Viridiplantae; Streptophyta; Magnoliopsida; Poales; Poaceae
Source: RefSeq, a predicted model, not a curated record